UGUGCCAUGUCAUAUUUUUUUGUGAAAGUCUUUGUAGAAAUAACAUUUAAGCAAAAUUUAAAAAAUCACUUCUCAAAUAUAGUCUAGGGGAUUCAUAUGAAUACAUAUUAUUUAAAACAAAAAUAUAAAAAUAAAUCUCACAAACAUUUAUUAAAAUCUGACGUGGACACCUUAAGAACAGAAAAAAAUGUCUCAUUAUAUAUAUGAUUUCUUAUACUUUUCAUCUCUCCGAUCCAUCGUUAUAUAUAAAGACUUUUAUUGGUGAAGGAAGAGACAAAAAGAGAGAGAAAAAAAAAGAGAUGAGAGAUGAGUUCUUCACAGGCACAGCUAAGUCAAGCUUUCAUUGUGCUUCUGCUUCUUUGCGUCAUAUUUUGCUUUGCCGAAUCUGCUAUACCUUCUCAUCAACAACCACUUUCAGUCAUCGGGAGAAGGUUGAUGGAUAGAGGGAUAUUUACAGGACCAUCAAGAAGUGGACCUGGCGGUGGUGGUAGCACUCCAGCCCCUUAGCUCUACAUCUAAACCCGUGGACAUCUAGUGGUGUACAUUGUUUAUAUAUUUAUGGCCUGGGUCCCUUAUAUAUUAAUGUAAUGUGUAGCUCUGAGCUCAGAAGUCAAGCUUUUAAUUUCUUUCGAUAUUAUGUAUAUGAUCAGUAUAUGGUAUGUGUUGGUAUAUUAUGCAUGUGAAUGUGUGUGUGUUCUUAAAUUUCUGUUCUCCAAAGUCAACUUUUUAAUUUCUCCAUUUUGUAUAAACUAAAAUGGAUAUUAUAAAAGUGUUGGUUUACCUCAA
Long non-coding RNA from Raphanus sativus (radish), 786 nucleotides. RefSeq lists it as uncharacterized. The record is from RefSeq and is a predicted model, not a curated record. NCBI's taxonomy places the organism in Eukaryota, Viridiplantae, Streptophyta, Magnoliopsida, Brassicales, Brassicaceae. The transcript is spliced from 2 exons.